This is a long non-coding RNA of Balaenoptera acutorostrata (minke whale), 1314 nucleotides long. RefSeq lists it as uncharacterized. The transcript is spliced from 3 exons. NCBI's taxonomy places the organism in Eukaryota, Metazoa, Chordata, Mammalia, Artiodactyla, Balaenopteridae. The record is from RefSeq and is a predicted model, not a curated record.
UCCUUUUCUUAGCUAACAAGAUCUUCUACCUUCUGCAGUACCUGGAGAGGGAGGCUGGGUCCCUGCGGGGGGACACAUGCCCCCAUCCCGGAAUGCUGCGUUCUGGGGUUGAAGGCUUUCUUCAGGGUCCAACAGAUGUGGGCUGAACAAGCUGCAGGGCUGUCUGGAAGGAAGACACUUUUCCCGGGAAGCCCGCGGCUGGUAGACUCAUGGCGUCUGGUAGACUCAUGGCGUCUGGUAUUGGGACAUUCUGAUGGGCAGGGCCAGGGGACAGCUGAACUUAUUACAGAUCAGUUCUACACCUUCUUGGUUGCCGAGUGGUUGGUGCUCCGAUGGCAGUGGAGUUGAGAUGCUGCCUUCCCUUUGGCUGAUUCUUCACACACCUGUGAGCACAUACCUGUGAGCACAGGUGGGCAUUGGUUAAUCUGCGUUCAGCCAGGAUGAGAAGGAAUGUUUUCGUUUUUUAGGUCUUCCUGAUUUUCUUUACUUACUUUUGAAAUAUUUUGGGGGUGUCUCUUUUCCUUCUUGUGAGAUAGCCCCCUUUCAAAAGUCGAGUGGGAGUGGGCAGGGACCCGGCACACGGUAGCAGAGCAGGGGCGGCUAGUCUGUGCUGCAGCUUCUCCCCUUAAACGAGGCAAGAAUGUCCACUGGCUCUUUUCUUUCUUCUGGUUCUUUUCCAGAUGGGAACCUGCCUGGUGUGUCAUUCAGCGGAAGCGAUCAGAGCCGUAGUUAACGUUUGUUUGAUUUUUAACUAGGCCCCGGAUGCAGGGAAAUCAUUACCAGAAAACUCACAGGCCUCCUUUUGGAAGGGGCCCUGGGUUCUGGUUGGUGGGGCAGGGAUGGCGGGAAGGGACAGGGCACAGAGCAAGUGGUCGAUCCUGCACUGGGACAGGCAAAGGCUCUUGUCCUGCAUCUGCAGUGGAAAAGCUGGGGGUCCUGGGCGGGUCACAUCUCUAUCUGGAGAUUGGGGUCUUCAUUUGCAGAAUGAGGAUUCAUUCAAUUCCCCCAAACUCCCCUGGAGCUGGAAGCACAAAGUUAAAAUGUGUCAUUGAAAUCUACAAAAGGAUGCAAGGGGCGGAUGAAGUGAAUGCCUCCACCUUCCAGACUUCUUCUGCUGGCCCCGCACUCACCCCAGCUUUGAUAGCACUCUGAGCUCUGAGAUGGAGCCGAGCUUCACAACCCCAAGCUUCCUUCACCCCAGGGGACCCACCUCCUUUCCCCUGGGAGCCCUUGGUGGUGGCAGUGGGACCCCAGCCCCAGCCGUGCCAGGGAUCACAGAAGGGAGUUUGACUAUAUCGGUUCUCUGAAAAUUAC